GCCUUACGCAUGCAAGUCGAACGCGAAAGCGGGGGCAACCCCGCAAGUAGAGUGGCGAACGGGUGAGUAAUACAUCGGAACGUGUCCAGUAGCGGGGGAUAACCUCUCGAAAGAGAGGCUAAUACCGCAUACGACCUACGGGUGAAAGAGGGGGAUCGCAAGACCUCUCACUAUUGGAGCGGCCGAUGUCGGAUUAGCUAGUUGGUGGGGUAAAGGCUUACCAAGGCGACGAUCCGUAGCUGGUCUGAGAGGACGACCAGCCACACUGGAACUGAGACACGGUCCAGACUCCUACGGGAGGCAGCAGUGGGGAAUUUUGGACAAUGGGGGAAACCCUGAUCCAGCCAUGCCGCGUGGGUGAAGAAGGCCUUCGGGUUGUAAAGCCCUUUCGGUGGGGACGAAACGGUGCGCGCUAACACCACGCACUACUGACGGUACCCACAGAAGAAGCACCGGCUA
RNAcentral lists this ribosomal RNA (459 nucleotides) under uncultured bacterium. RNAcentral describes it as "bacterial SSU rRNA". It matches the Rfam family "Bacterial small subunit ribosomal RNA", at positions 46 to 499 of the family's 1533-position model. The record is from RNAcentral.